RNAcentral lists this ribosomal RNA (138 nucleotides) under uncultured eukaryote. Its description in RNAcentral is "partial 18S ribosomal RNA". It matches the Rfam family "Eukaryotic small subunit ribosomal RNA", at positions 1299 to 1458 of the family's 1831-position model. The record is from RNAcentral.
UGGUGGAGUGAUUUGUCUGGUUAAUUCCGUUAACGAACGAGACCUUAACCUGCUAACUAGUCCUGCGAACCUUGGUUCGUAGCUGACUUCUUAGAGGGACUAUGGAUGUGUAAUCCAUGGAAGUUUGAGGCAAUAACA